This 67-nucleotide transfer RNA is filed under the name Pseudomictis brevicornis. Its description in RNAcentral is "tRNA-Arg". The record is from RNAcentral. Lineage: Eukaryota; Metazoa; Arthropoda; Insecta; Hemiptera; Coreidae.
UAAGUAAUGAAGUAAAAAUUACAUUUAGUUUCGACCUAAAAUUAGAGUAUUAAUCCUCCUUACUUAU